UACGAAGGGGGCUAGCGUUGUUCGGAAUUACUGGGCGUAAAGCGUGCGCAGGCGGUGAUGUAAGGCAGGUGUGAAAUCCCCGGGCUUAACCUGGGAACUGCAUUUGUGACUGCAUCGCUGGAGUGCGGCAGAGGGGGAUGGAAUUCCGCGUGUAGCAGUGAAAUGCGUAGAUAUGCGGAGGAACACCGAUGGCGAAGGCAAUCCCCUGGGCCUGCACUGACGCUCAUGCACGAAAGCGUGGGGAGCAAACAGG
RNAcentral lists this ribosomal RNA (253 nucleotides) under uncultured bacterium. RNAcentral's name for it is "partial 16S ribosomal RNA". It matches the Rfam family "Bacterial small subunit ribosomal RNA", at positions 524 to 776 of the family's 1533-position model. The record is from RNAcentral.